Molecule: transfer RNA, 71 nt
Filed under: Loxodonta africana (African savanna elephant)
Lineage: Eukaryota; Metazoa; Chordata; Mammalia; Proboscidea; Elephantidae
Rfam family: tRNA
About the family: Transfer RNA (tRNA) molecules are approximately 80 nucleotides in length. Their secondary structure includes four short double-helical elements and three loops (D, anti-codon, and T loops).
Source: Rfam by way of RNAcentral
GCAUUGGUGGUUGAGUGGUAGAAUUCUUGCCUUCCACGAAGGAGACCCAAGUUUGUUUCUCGGCCACUGCA